AGAUGAGAUCAAGAGUCAGGACUAGAUUUGAGCAGGUCGAGGGUAGAUAGGAGCUUUCUCAGAGAGCUGCACUUUAAGACACGGAUCGAUGAGCUAGUGAUAUGAGUUACAUCCUGAUAUACAGAGAUAGGUGUACUAGAUUUAAUUCAGAUGGGAGAGGAUACUGAUAUCCUACGUGCAGAGGUAUGCUCUCUUGCAGAGAGCCAUGUAUAAACUACUUCCUCUAUGAUACCCCCC
RNAcentral lists this long non-coding RNA (237 nucleotides) under Capsicum annuum. Its description in RNAcentral is "long non-coding RNA (CANN_LNC005152)". Lineage: Eukaryota; Viridiplantae; Streptophyta; Magnoliopsida; Solanales; Solanaceae. The record is from RNAcentral.